GUGGGGAAUAUUGGGCAAUGGGCGCAAGCCUGACCCAGCAACGCCGCGUGAAGGAAGAAGGCUUUCGGGUUGUAAACUUCUUUUACCAGGGACGAAACAAAUGACGGUACCUGGUGAAUAAGCCACGGCUAACUACGUGCCAGCAGCCGCGGUAAUACGUAGGUGGCGAGCGUUAUCCGGAUUUAUUGGGUGUAAAGGGCGUGUAGGCGGGACAGCAAGUCAGAUGUGAAAACCAGAGGCUCAACCUCUGGCCUGCAUUUGAAACUGUUGUUCUUGAGUGUCGGAGAGGUAAUCGGAAUUCCGUGUGUAGCGGUGAAAUGCGUAGAUAUACGGAGGAACACCAGUGGCGAAGGCGGCUUACUGGACUGUAACUGACGCUGAGGCGCGAAAGUGUGGGGAGCAAACAGGAUUAGAUACCCCAGUAGUCC
RNAcentral lists this ribosomal RNA (428 nucleotides) under uncultured bacterium. RNAcentral's name for it is "partial 16S ribosomal RNA". It matches the Rfam family "Bacterial small subunit ribosomal RNA", at positions 354 to 796 of the family's 1533-position model. The record is from RNAcentral.